GGGCUAUUAGCUCAGUUGGUAGAGCGCGCCCUUGAUAAUUGCGGGGCGAGGUCUCUGGUUCAAAUCCGGGAUGGCCCA
Molecule: transfer RNA, 78 nt
Filed under: Schizaea dichotoma
Lineage: Eukaryota; Viridiplantae; Streptophyta; Polypodiopsida; Schizaeales; Schizaeaceae
Description: tRNA-Ile
Rfam family: tRNA
About the family: Transfer RNA (tRNA) molecules are approximately 80 nucleotides in length. Their secondary structure includes four short double-helical elements and three loops (D, anti-codon, and T loops). Further hydrogen bonds mediate the characteristic L-shaped molecular structure. tRNAs have two regions of fundamental functional importance: the anti-codon, which is responsible for specific mRNA codon recognition, and the 3' end, to which the tRNAs corresponding amino acid is attached (by aminoacyl-tRNA synthetases). tRNAs cope with the degeneracy of the genetic code in two manners: having more than one tRNA (with a specific anti-codon) for a particular amino acid; and 'wobble' base-pairing, i.e. permitting non-standard base-pairing at the 3rd anti-codon position.
Source: RNAcentral